GCCGCUUCCUGCGGCCGGGGCCAGUCUAAUGCAUGGGGCCCGGGCGGGGGACUAAGGGGAAACUGAGUCACGUCGGUGUGGGAGCAGUUCUGUGUGGGAGGCACCACCCCCCACUGGGCUCGGGGAAGGAUCCCCCUCCAAGCUAUGCUUGAGGGUCCCAGCCCCCAUCUGUCUCCACAGGGGCCGCACCCCACUCCCGCCUUCCCCUUCUUCAGCACCCAGGGGUCCCGCCCUGGCUCCCAGCAGCCUCGACUGGUCCCGGAAUGGCUAGGAGGAUCCGCUGCAGCCGCCUCCCUCCCCUCCCCUCCCCCUCGCGUCCCAAGCCCCCGUGUGCUCCCUCCGCUGGCUCUCCGCACAGUGUCAGCUUACACGCCUUAUAUAGUCCGAGCAGGCUCCAGCCGCGGCCUGCCUGCCGGGACCUGGGGGCGGGGGAGAGGAGAGCCGGCCCCUGACUCACCCGGCCGCCCGAGGCUCCAGGCUGGCUUGGGGGGAGGCCGCGCCAGUUUAGUCCCUCGGCCCACCCCUGGUUGCAAAGAACCUCAAACCUGGAUUCAGGCACCCCUCACCGUUCCAGUCCCAAGGGGAGGGGGGCUGCUCCUGUCUUUCCAAAGUGAGGUCCGCCAGCCAGCAGCCCAGGCCAGCCUGACAAAAUACCUGCCUACUAUGGCUUGGGAGCCGGCAUCAUGGAUUCCUUCAAAGUAGUGCUGGAGGGGCCAGCACCUUGGGGCUUCCGGCUGCAAGGGGGCAAGGACUUCAAUGUGCCCCUCUCCAUUUCCCGGCUCACUCCUGGGGGCAAAGCGGCGCAGGCCGGAGUGGCCGUGGGUGACUGGGUGCUGAGCAUCGAUGGCGAGAAUGCGGGUAGCCUCACACACAUCGAAGCUCAGAACAAGAUCCGGGCCUGCGGGGAGCGCCUCAGCCUGGGCCUGAGCAGGGCCCAGCCGGUUCAGAGCAAACCGCAGAAGGCCUCCGCCCCCGCCGCGGACCCUCCGCGGUACACCUUUGCACCCAGCGUCUCCCUCAACAAGACGGCCCGGCCCUUUGGGGCGCCCCCGCCCGCUGACAGCGCCCCGCAGCAGAAUGGACAGCCGCUCCGACCGCUGGUCCCAGAUGCCAGCAAGCAGCGGCUGAUGGAGAACACAGAGGACUGGCGGCCGCGGCCGGGGACAGGCCAGUCGCGUUCCUUCCGCAUCCUUGCCCACCUCACAGGCACCGAGUUCAUGCAAGACCCGGAUGAGGAGCACCUGAAGAAAUCAAGGGAAAAGUAUGUCCUGGAGCUGCAGAGCCCACACUACACCCGCCUCCGGGACUGGCACCACCAGCGCUCUGCCCACGUGCUCAACGUGCAGUCGUAGCCCGGCCCUCUCCAGCCGGCUGCCCUCUCUGCCUCCCUCUUUCUGUUCCUCCUGCCCAGGGCACCCCCUUAGUGCCUCCAGCUUCUGCCUACCUCACCCCCCCUUUCCUGCCCCUGGCCUGAGCCUCCUGCUGGCCUGGCCCUGGCCGCCCACCUGGGUUCAUCUGACACUGCCUUCCCUCUUUGCCCUGUGGUACUGCUGUCUGCCAGGUCUGUGCUGCCUUGGGCAUGGAAUAAACAUUCUCAGCCCUGCUUGCUCUGCCUGUCUUCUAUCUUUGUGGACCUGGUUUGCAUUUGGGGUGUGGGGGUGUUUCGUGGUUCGGACUGUUUGGGCCCUGCCGUCCUCGUUUUCAGUGGGAGGGGGUACCUGGCAAAGGGACCCUGCCCUGCCAUCACAGAUGGCUUCCUGGCAUGAGGGGAGCCCCAGGAGCUGCCUCAGAAGCGGGAGCCCUGCCUCGUCUCCCAGCUAGAGACCGCACACCAGCUAACUGGACAUUGCUAGGAGAAGCUGCCCUUCCCAUCCCUACCCCAGUGGGACCUGGAAUCCAACUCGGCAGUUUCCACGCCCCCAGGCAUCUCCCGUGGGGCCAGCAGGACCCAGGUUGGGGGGUGGGGCCAUGUCAGGAAGCUCAGCCAUGCAGGGCCUUGAAUGGCAGAUCUUGCAGCCAGGUGCCCGGGACGGAAGCCCCAGCCUCAUCUACACCCCAGGAGCCCUGGCCUGGCCCUACCGCCCCCAGCCCUACCAGCCGCCCGCCCUGGGCCGUGGACCCUGCGUUUGCCGAGCGCUAUGCCCCGGACAAAACGAGCACAGUGCUGACCCGGCACAGCCAGCCGGCCACGCCCACGCCGCUGCAGAGCCGCACCUCCAUUGUGCAGGCAGCUGCCGGAGGGGUGCCAGGAGGGGGCAGCAACAACGGCAAGACUCCCGUGUGUCACCAGUGCCACAAGGUCAUCCGGGGCCGCUACCUGGUGGCGCUGGGCCACGCGUACCACCCGGAGGAGUUUGUGUGUAGCCAGUGUGGGAAGGUCCUGGAAGAGGGUGGCUUCUUUGAGGAAAAGGGCGCCAUCUUCUGCCCACCAUGCUAUGACGUGCGCUAUGCACCCAGCUGUGCCAAGUGCAAGAAGAAGAUUACAGGCGAGAUCAUGCACGCCCUGAAGAUGACCUGGCACGUGCACUGCUUUACCUGUGCUGCCUGCAAGACGCCCAUCCGGAACAGGGCCUUCUACAUGGAGGAGGGCGUGCCCUAUUGCGAGCGAGACUAUGAGAAGAUGUUUGGCACGAAAUGCCAUGGCUGUGACUUCAAGAUCGACGCUGGGGACCGCUUCCUGGAGGCCCUGGGCUUCAGCUGGCAUGACACCUGCUUCGUCUGUGCGAUAUGUCAGAUCAACCUGGAAGGAAAGACCUUCUACUCCAAGAAGGACAGGCCUCUCUGCAAGAGCCAUGCCUUCUCUCAUGUGUGAGCCCCUUCUGCCCACAGCUGCCGCGGUGGCCCCUAGCCUGAGGGGCCUGGAGUCGUGGCCCUGCAUUUCUGGGUAGGGCUGGCAAUGGUUGCCUUAACCCUGGCUCCUGGCCCGAGCCUGGGGUUCCCUGGGCCCUGCCCCACCCCCCUUAUCCUCCCACCCCACUCCCUCCACCACCACAGCACACCGGUGCUGGCCACACCGGCCCCCUUUCACCUCCAGUGCCACAAUAAACCUGUACCCAGCUGUG
Pan troglodytes (chimpanzee) is the source of this 3062-nucleotide RNA transcript. It is a transcript of the gene named PDZ and LIM domain 7, with no coding region annotated. The transcript has 13 exons. Lineage: Eukaryota; Metazoa; Chordata; Mammalia; Primates; Hominidae. The record is from RefSeq and is a predicted model, not a curated record.